This 241-nucleotide ribosomal RNA is filed under the name uncultured eukaryote. RNAcentral describes it as "partial Bacterial small subunit ribosomal RNA". It matches the Rfam family "Bacterial small subunit ribosomal RNA", at positions 1031 to 1273 of the family's 1533-position model. The record is from RNAcentral.
UUACAAGGUGCUGCAUGGUUGUCGUCAGCUCGUGCCGUGAGGUGUUAGGUUAAGUCCUGCAACGAGCGCAACCCCUGUCACUAGUUGCUAACAUUUAGUUGAGGACUCUAGUGAGACUGCCUACGCAAGUAGAGAGGAAGGUGGGGAUGACGUCAAAUCAUCACGGCCCUUACGUCUUGGGCCACACACGUAAUACAAUGGCCGGUACAGAGGGCAGCUACCUAGCGAUAGGAUGCAAAUC